RNAcentral lists this transfer RNA (73 nucleotides) under Kordia algicida OT-1. RNAcentral's name for it is "tRNA-Asp". It matches the Rfam family "tRNA". Rfam says of the family: Transfer RNA (tRNA) molecules are approximately 80 nucleotides in length. Lineage: Bacteria; Pseudomonadati; Bacteroidota; Flavobacteriia; Flavobacteriales; Flavobacteriaceae. The record is from RNAcentral.
ACAGUAGUAGCUCAGUUGGAAGAGCGCAUGCCUGUCACGCAUGAGGUCGCGAGUUCGAACCUCGUCUACUGUU